GUAAACACAGUGACGGAGAGAGUACAUAUAUUUUGCAUUUUACAGAGAAAUUCCCAUAGGCUGAGAGGAAUGAAUGAGGGUAUAUGGAAAAUGGCUCCUGAGAGGCGCACCGAAGCAAAAUUGCCAAGGCUGCGACAGGGUCCGCCUGUUAUAGCGGCAGGGUAUUAAACAGAUACCCGUUGAGGUUUGUACUGCGAGGUACAGAUAAACAGAAGUGGUAACGUGGGUUAUAGGCUCGCCUUCUUA
This 246-nucleotide non-coding RNA is filed under the name Lachnospiraceae bacterium. Its description in RNAcentral is "T-box sequence". It matches the Rfam family "T-box leader". From Rfam's summary of the family: Uncharged tRNA acts as the effector for transcription antitermination of genes in the T-box leader family. T-boxes are found upstream of many aminoacyl-tRNA synthetase genes and some amino acid biosynthetic genes usually in Gram-positive bacteria. The anticodon of a specific tRNA base pairs to a specifier sequence within the T-box motif, and the NCCA acceptor tail of the tRNA base pairs to a conserved bulge in the T-box antiterminator hairpin. The record is from RNAcentral. Lineage: Bacteria; Bacillati; Bacillota; Clostridia; Lachnospirales; Lachnospiraceae.